RNAcentral lists this ribosomal RNA (398 nucleotides) under uncultured bacterium. RNAcentral describes it as "bacterial SSU rRNA". It matches the Rfam family "Bacterial small subunit ribosomal RNA", at positions 28 to 430 of the family's 1533-position model. The record is from RNAcentral.
GACGAACGCUGGCGGCGUGCUUAACACAUGCAAGUCGAGCGGUAAGGCCCUUUGGGGUACACGAGCGGCGAACGGGUGAGUAACACGUGAGUAAUCUGCCUUUGGCUUGGGAAUAACUUCGGGAAAUCGGGGCUAAUGCCUGAUGUUUACUGUCUGCUGCAUGGUGGGUGGUGGAAAGAUUUUUUGGCCAGGGAUGAGCUCGCGGUCUAUCAGCUUGUUGGUGGGGUAAGUGGCUUACCAAGGCUUUGACGGGUAGCCGGCCUGAGAGGGUGUUCGGCCACACUGGGACUGAGACACGGCCCAGACUCCUACGGGAGGCAGCAGUGGGGAAUAUUGCGCAAUGGGCGUAAGCCUGACGCAGCGACGCCGCGUGGGGAUGAAGGCCUUCGGUUGUAACC